Non-coding RNA from Paramuricea clavata, 226 nucleotides. The record is from the annotation of a GenBank genome assembly. NCBI's taxonomy places the organism in Eukaryota, Metazoa, Cnidaria, Anthozoa, Malacalcyonacea, Plexauridae.
ACCUAGCAUGGAUGUUAAGUCCUCAAACCUGGGGAAAGGUUUUUUCACUUCAGUUAAUGUGGUGUUCGCCUGGUCGAAGUUAUCACGUAUCUGCUUUAUAAGCUCUUCUAGUCUCUCUAACCAGUUUCUCAAUUCUGGAAUCCUUUUUUUCUGAUUUUCAGCAUCAUUUUCCAAUCGCACACUUGUGUUCUUCGACGUUGCUGCAUUCACGCCAAGUCCCUUGCUC